Molecule: non-coding RNA, 5321 nt
Organism: Zootermopsis nevadensis
Lineage: Eukaryota; Metazoa; Arthropoda; Insecta; Blattodea; Termopsidae
Source: RefSeq, a predicted model, not a curated record
CAUCACCAGUGGCUAACGGGGUUCUUCCAACUACUCACCCCUUCUAGUGUCGAGGUUGAGAAUUUAGCCAUCAUUGGCUUGUAUAGGAAUUGAUUUACUUUUACCUACCAAUUUAUCAUCAUGCCUUUCUUCAUGACAAAUUAAUGAAAAAUUUCUUUCAUCCAAACAGUUUCAUCACUUUAUUCUCCUCCCAUUGUCCCAUACUUUAUCAAACAUAUUUAUUAUGCCAAAAAAUUAACAGUGAGGUGCUUAGCACACUUUGAUUGUUACCAUAGCUGGGAUGAAACUGAAUGUUUUGCCUACGUCACUGUCUUACAGGUACAAGGAAAAUAAAUGCAUGUACUAUGUAAUCCAAUCACUUACUGACCCAGGAGGUGUGAAAGCCAGCUACAAAGUACUGCCACCUGGAAAUGAUGUUUAUGGAAUGGGCAGUAUGUGCUUCAUCUGCCGUCUCCUCCUACUCCUCUGAUCCCUUUGCCUUUUAAUGUUAAUAGAUGUGGAAUGCAGAGAUUUACCGCUACUACUGUACCAGGUCCAAAUCUUGGCCAAGGACUGACUAUCCUGAUUGAAGUUUCUUAUGGUUUUCCUCAGACUCUGUGAACAAAUGCCAGGAUAGUACCUUAAAUUAGGCCACACCCACUUCCUUCCACAUUCUUUCCAAUUUAUUAUUCACUUUUCAUCCUAUUACUCAGUGCUGUAUAAUCUGAUUGUUGGAAAUAUAAUUUAAUGAACACUAAAUAAAUAAUUUAAUCUCUAAUUUUUAUAAAUGAAUGAUGUAUGUUUUGUUUCUUUGUUUGUUUGCUUUCAUUACUCUGUUCCUAAAAUUUGUUGAGUGGUGGUGUUUGUGCAGAUAUUUACAUGCAGUCGGGAACAUAAAGCUGGUGGUGAUCCUGUUGGACAGGCAGAACCCGCUGUUCCGACAGCCAUCGCAGAGACAGUUCAAUGUGGAAUGAUAUUAUUCAGUAUCUGGUGUUGCAGCACACAGGCUGACUCUGUUUUACUAUUUUCCUCAAUUGGAGGAAUGUGUACCCAACAUCUGUGGAGUAGUUCAGCCCUAUGCAGCUGCUCUCAGACAACUCUCCUUGAGCUGGAACACUCUCCUGCCGCCAUUGGUAGAGUUGCUGGAAGCAGUUCUGGAAUUGCUGUGGCUGGAUGUCACACAGAGCGUCUUUUGUUGCAAUAAUAACUUCUUGCCUGCUGUUAAAACGAUAACCUCUGAAAUGUUUUUCUCUCUUGAGGAAAGAGACAUCGGAUGGUGAGAGAUCAUGUGAUUAAGGUUGAUGUGAUAACACAACAGUAUUGUGUUCAGCGAGCGAUUUUUGCACAAGAAUUGAGAGUUGUGUUAUCGUGCAACAGAUUUAUGUCCCUAGUCACUGGUCCAAUCCUGCAGCUGGUGAAACUUUUGUUUGAUCUUUGCUUGUUCAGAGUUGCAUCUGGAAUGAAUUUGUAGUAGUGCAAGAUGUAUGUACCAUAUUUUAUCCCCUCAGUACAAGGAAUUUAUUUGUUAAUUUGUUUCUUUCAGCUAAGAGUUAUACACCGAGACCUAAAACCAGAUAAUAUAUUGGUAGAUCUUCAGGGCCACAUUGCUGUUACAGAUUAUGGUUUAUGCAAACAGUUUGUCUGCUCUGAAGAUGUAGAUAUUAUAUCCACCUUAUCUUUUGUUCAGUGUGCGUACAAGGGCACAUAGGCUGUAAAUGUAAGCACUUUGUGGAACUCUGUCCAUCAGGCAGUGCCCUUUAUUUGGAGGGUGUCAAAGUAUGAGACCUGUAAAGAGUUGAUAGGUUUCAGGUGCCUCAAAUUAGACCACACAUUUUCGAAGUGUGUGUGUGUGUGUGUAACUAAAACAUGUCACAAGGCAUAUGAAUUUGAGUAGGUAAACGUGAAGUGUAAUACUGGAUACUGAAAGGGAUAAUCCACGGGCCUAGUUUAAAUAUUUUCUUCUUCAGUUGGCACUACAGUCCUUGGUGGACCUGGGCUCCUUAGUUUAAAUAUUAUAUGAAGAUAAAAUUUGUGGUACAUACAGCCUACUGUGUAUGGUCACAGUUAAGGAUCUUAUGAUGAGUGGGAUGUGUAGGGAGAGAAAAAAUGCUGCAGAAUAUUGGUGGGAAAAUCUCUUGGAAAAUGGUAGCAUCAGAAAUCAUUCAGGAAAAGGAAGCAUAGGAUUAAGAGGGAUGUUAGAGAAAUGGAUUCUGAGGGCAGGAGAUGAAUGGAAGUCGCCCACUGGUGGUCUUCACUUUUUGACUUGAUCAGUUUUCUUUUCUCUUACCAGACACUUUCCAGUUGUUUUGUGACCCAAAUUCCUGUCACAGUUAUUCAAAGUAUCGUUUCUGUCUUCAGAGUGACCGUGCAAAUUCACGGUGUGGCACAAGUCAGUAUAUGGUGCCAGAGAUAUUCAUAGGCAAAGGCUACAGCUAUGUAAGUUUCUUAUCUGUUAACAGUAUGAUAAUAACGAACUUUUGGUUUUAUGUAACUCAGCCAAACAUGUGAUCAAUGCUAACUAACAAGAAAAGACAUUGUAAUAAUGUGAGAGUUUGGAGCCACAAGAAAUAACUUCAUGGAGUUUGUAAGGACACAUGCAUAAACUAGCCAGUAUACAUGACAGGAGGUCAAACAUUCGAGUGAAUGUGGCACAGUCAGUUGCCUUGCAUCUGGCUUGAUGACAUGCAUUUUUGUCAUAUAACAGAAUUUGAAAGCCAAGUACUAGCCAGGCACUAAAAUUCGAAAUAAGUGUUGUUCAGACUUUGUUUCUUAUGUGACUCAGCAUGCAAGUAGCUUUAAGUGUCUAUUUGUGGCACAUUACACCCAAAAACAGAAAGAAAAAUGCUUCAAGGCCAUGGAAAUACUUCAUAUCCCUUACCACACAGCUCCAUGCUCACCAAUUAAAAGGCACGGUAAUUAGAACUGAAUGGAUUUGAGUAGUUUUUGUGAUCAAGUUCUCAUGAUCUACAUUUCACAUGUUCAAUGAAGGCGCUGUGAGUGGCCUGGCAGAUAACAUAAUUACAUUCAGUUUCAGUCCACACUAUAAGGAAGUCGAGGGUGACUGUAGCCAAUUCUCCUACUAAGUUGUGGCAAAGUUAAAGCCAUUGUUAGCACAUGGACACCAUCCUGAUGAACCCUGAAAAGAAUUCUGUAAGGGGAAGAAGGUCAUGCACACAACAUGGCCAAGUCGUAGUCCCACCCUUGCCAAUAAAAUUCUCUUGAAACUUGCAAUUUCAGACGUCAAUCAGUCCCUUGUGAAAAUGUGGAGGCAUUCUGUCUUGUUCCAACAUCAUGUCAAUAGGACACUGUUCUUCCAAACUUGGCGUGAGGAAUUCCUCUGCUUAAGAUGCCAUUUUAACAACUGUGAGUGUAGUGCAUCUUGUGCAAAGAUAUGGAAACUAAAGCAGCACGAGUUAUAAACUUGAUCAUAUAAAUUUCUCAAAUGAAUUUAGUUCAUAUUCCCCUGCGUCAUGGUUCACAGGCAUUGAAAUGGCAUACAUUUUAUGUUCACAAACUGUGUAUAAGCGGUUCUUGAACUGAAAUAAACAUAAAUAUUUGCGAAAGCUUGUUGCAGUAAACAGUAUUGAUGGAGCCACAGCAGUUCGGAAGCUAUGAAACAAACAUAGAACAUUUGUAGGUGCUUUCACCACAGAAAAAUAGAGAAAAGCAUGUGUUUGCUUUGCCGUGUUUGUGUGUCCACCUGUCUAGUAUUUUGAUAAUUGCUGAAUGGGCUUUAAUGGCAUUUGAUAAUUUUCCUGACUUGACUGCUAAUGUCAAUUAUUUAAAAUAAAUGAUAGUAUAACUGUAUAAUGUCAAUUGUAGAUGGUGUUUAGUAAAGUGUUUUUUCAAGGUUCUGACUGAGCACUCCAAGAAAACCAUAAGAAAACUCACCACAAUGGUUGGAAAAGAAUUAAAACAAUCGGUCAGUCGGGAUGCAGGCUCCGAGUGACGGCAAACGAACUCAUACAAGAGGAUCAAGAACAAAACAUUUCCACAAUCUUAAGGUUUCAUCUGCACCAGCAGACAACACUGUGCUUCCGUCUGGACACAGAGCCAGUUGCAAGACCCGCUUUUUGUGGCCAGUUAAUUCAGCAACCUGGAAUUAAUUUAAGACUUGAUUUAUUUAACUUAAUUAAUGCUCUAAUUUUAUUGGUAAAAUUAUGCAAGGACCAGUUCUCCUGCUUUGGGGUUUGAAAUGGGGCCAAUAAACUCUUGCAGUAAAAAUACACACUGACUCUGGCUGCAGAAGUGGUAUGGUAUUCGUAUUGCGUUAGUAUGGUGUUUGGACGACAAGAUCCAGUCUGACAUUUAGAUGAAAAAUAAUUUUUGGAAAUACUUUAUAAAUUUGUACAGGGACCUCAGAAGUUAUUAACGUCUGUGGUCUCUGUACAAAUUUAAAAUAUUCACCCAGUGCAAUGAUGAAAAUAAAAGAGUUUCAAUCCAAAUUAAUAGGCAUUUAAGGAUCAUGAUUCUUAUGUUAAAUAGUAAAAUCCUGAACUACUAUAUUAAUGGCAGCAGAGAUGCGAUUUUUAAGAAGCAUAGACUGAAAAACUAAAAGAGAUUGGAUAAAAAAUAAAUAAAAGAGAAUCUAAGUUAAAUGUCAUGGAAGAGAAACUAACAAAGAACAGAAUUAGAUGGUAUGGGCAAUGGUUUAUUAAGAAUGAAUAAUAGACAAAUCCCAAAGAAGGCUUUGAACAUGAAAGUGAAAGGAAAAUGUUCACAAUGGAAGCUGUGAUAAAGAUGGGAAUGACAGGUUAAGAAACACAACAGAAAGGGAAGGAAGUUUCAAGAGGAAGAAACACAGGAGUUGUAGGAAGGCAGACACUGAUGGUUGGACAUGGCCAUCAGACUUUAGAGCAGAAAUAUCUUGCGAGGAAAAAAUGCCUUUCAGCCCUAAAACAAAAUGGAGACCAAACUGAGAGGCCAGGAAAACCACCCCAUUUUCUUCUUUCAUUCCCUCAAGCAUGGCAGAGUAAAGGUGAUGGGAACAAUAUCAAAAUAAACAGUUACAAAGUUUGCCACAGUAUUGGAUAAACAUUUUCUGAGAUAUCAGGUUCUCAUGGAAUGGAUUGUUGGUGCCAUGUACUGCGGCAUAAGUACGUAUACUGACUCAUGAUUUAUGAUGAAGCACAUAGAGAGUGGGGGAAGAAGACUUUUGGUUAUAAAAUGUUUGCUAGUGGGUGCCUAACUGGGCAUCAGAAACAUCAUGUUUGUGUUCAGACAGGAAGAUAAUGAUGGUAUUAAAAGUGGCUGGUUUUACAAGCCUGUUCUACAAGAAUUAAAUGUCAGCCACAGGAUGCUCAAAAUUAAGUGUAAAAUAAAUCUAUCUUCUAACUAACCAA